GAUGAACGCUGGCGGCGUGCCUAAUACAUGCAAGUCGAGCGAACAGACGAGGAGCUUGCUCCUCUGACGUUAGCGGCGGACGGGUGAGUAACACGUGGAUAACCUACCUAUAAGACUGGGAUAACUUCGGGAAACCGGAGCUAAUACCGGAUAAUAUAUUGAACCGCAUGGUUCAAUAGUGAAAGACGGUUUUGCUGUCACUUAUAGAUGGAUCCGGGCCGGAUUAGCUAGUUGGUAAGGUAACGGCUUACCAAGGCAACGAUGCGUAGCCGACCUGAGAGGGUGAUCAGCCACACUGGAACUGAGACACGGUCCAGACUCCUACGGGAGGCAGCAGUGGGGAAUCUUCCGCAAUGGGCGAAAGCCUGACGGAGCAACGCCGCGUGUGUGAAGAAGUCUUCCGGUCUGUAAACCCUGUUAAUAGGGAAGAAAAAAUGUGAAAGUAACUAUGCACUGCUUGAAGGUUCCUAAUAAAAUAGCCACGGCCAACUUUGUG
RNAcentral lists this ribosomal RNA (496 nucleotides) under uncultured bacterium. Its description in RNAcentral is "partial 16S ribosomal RNA". It matches the Rfam family "Bacterial small subunit ribosomal RNA", at positions 28 to 507 of the family's 1533-position model. The record is from RNAcentral.